GGAGUUAGCCGGUGCUUCUUCUGUGAGUGAUGUCCUUCCUGCCGGCUAUUAACCCGCAGGCCUUCUUCCUCACUGAAAGUGCUUUACAACCCGAAGGCCUUCUUCACACACGCGGCAUGGCUGGAUCAGGGUUGCCCCCAUUGUCCAAUAUUCCCCACUGCUGCCUCCCGUAGGAGUCUGGGCCGUGUCUCAGUCCCAGUGUGGCUGAUCAUCCUCUCAGACCAGCUACGGAUCGUCGCCUUGGUGAGCCGUUACCUCACCAACCAGCUAAUCCGACAUAGGCUCAUCCGAUAGCGCGAGGCCCGAAGGUCCCCCGCUUUCCCCCGUAGGGCGUAUGCGGUAUUAGCCUGGGUUUCCCCAGGUUAUCCCCCACUACCGGGCAGAUUCCUAUGCAUUACUCACCCGUCCGCCGCUCGCCACCAGGGAGCAAGCUCCCGUGCUGCCGCUCGACUUGCAUGUGUUAGGCCUGCCGCCAGCGUUCAAUCUGAGCCAGGAUCAAACUCUGA
RNAcentral lists this ribosomal RNA (506 nucleotides) under uncultured bacterium. RNAcentral's name for it is "partial 16S ribosomal RNA". The record is from RNAcentral.